This 465-nucleotide ribosomal RNA is filed under the name Vreelandella stevensii. RNAcentral's name for it is "partial 16S ribosomal RNA". It matches the Rfam family "Bacterial small subunit ribosomal RNA", at positions 338 to 795 of the family's 1533-position model. Lineage: Bacteria; Pseudomonadati; Pseudomonadota; Gammaproteobacteria; Oceanospirillales; Halomonadaceae. The record is from RNAcentral.
CCUACGGGUGGCAGCAGUGGGGAAUAUUGGACAAUGGGGGGAACCCUGAUCCAGCCAUGCCGCGUGUGUGAAGAAGGCCCUCGGGUUGUAAAGCACUUUCAGUGAGGAAGAACGCCUGGUGGUUAAUACCCAUCAGGAAAGACAUCACUCACAGAAGAAGCACCGGCUAACUCCGUGCCAGCAGCCACGGUAAUACGGAGGGUGCGAGCGUUAAUCGGAAUUACUGGGCGUAAAGCGCGCGUAGGUGGCUUGAUAAGCCGGUUGUGAAAGCCCCGGGCUCAACCUGGGAACGGCAUCCGGAACUGUCAAGCUAGAGUGCAGGAGAGGAAGGUAGAAUUCCCGGUGUAGCGGUGAAAUGCGUAGAGAUCGGGAGGAAUACCAGUGGCGAAGGCGGCCUUCUGGACUGACACUGACACUGAGGUGCGAAAGCGUGGGUAGCAAACAGGAUUAGAUACCCGAGUAGUC